Molecule: long non-coding RNA, 1232 nt
Organism: Amaranthus tricolor (Joseph's coat)
Lineage: Eukaryota; Viridiplantae; Streptophyta; Magnoliopsida; Caryophyllales; Amaranthaceae
Exons: 3
Source: RefSeq, a predicted model, not a curated record
AAAUUUAAUUGGAAAAUCAACACUCACUAGCAGCCAAGUCCAAACAAGUUCACCUCCAACUAAUGCCUACCAAGUCGGUAGCCCCAUUGCCGGCAGCCCAACCUUGAAUCUCAAAACCGCCGCCGCCGCCCCUAUCAGCCACGAAUGCCGCUUCACAACCCACCUAUGUUGACUAACAGAACCACUGCCAGAGGCACCCAGCUGUAGCUUGAAGGAACGGUUGUGGAAACUACGUCACUGACUUGAUUGAUAUUCUGCUCAGCUUCAACCUGAUCAUCUUGUACAUUUCUGGGAACAACUGGAUUGGGAACUCCUUGCUGGUCCUCAUUUACCGGCUGUUCUGCUUGGUCAGGUGUGUAGAGUCCCAGGGGUUUAUGUAUCAAGUUGGGAGGGGGAAUGGUUUGCGUAACACAUUCAGAAAUGUUGUCCAAGGACUUCAAUGGUAUAUGCGUUGAUAGUUUCGUGUUACGAUCUAAGUGCAGUUGGAUCAUUACGAAUUGGAGUUAUUUACUACGCUUGGUGCUGAUGUUCAAAUGUAUAACAACAAAAAACUUCCAGUGGUUCUAUUAGUGGUGUAUAGUUGUCGUACUUUUUAUUGGAGUAAGUUUGUUGUUGCCUUCCAAGGUUUAAAUGGCUUGUUUCAAAGCUUGUAACUGAUUGGUGUAUGUUGCAUAGCCCACUUCUAUGUAUUUCCAUUUGAGUGGUAUGUUUUCGAAGCUUUUAUUCCAAUGGCUAUUUCAAAGCUUAUAAUAAAGAAAACUAACACUCGAAACUUAGUUUUGCACCUUGUGUACUUUCGCGCAAGAUGCAACCAAAUUCAGUCCUAGCUAGAUUUUUACAUUCAACAAUUUUGAAUUUUCUUCCUAUUAGGGUUUAAUCAUAAUGCUAAUAACUUUGAUGGUAUUGUAUUAGAUUAUCAUUUUUUUUUCCAUCUUAUCUUCUUCUUUGAAUGGCUAUCCUUUCUGCAUGGAGUCCCCUAUUGCUUUUUUUAGGUUUUCGUCAUUUUCAAAAAUAACUUGAAGAACACCCUAUGGAUGAGGUCUUCAAUAUUAUUCUAUAGGGACUUAUAGUACAUAGUCUAGUGACAAAGGCAGUCAUGAAAGUCUUAAUAAGUCCGAGAGUUUUUUCAACCUUUUCCUUAAAGCAAGUUUCCUCAAGGUAUCUUGUUUUCACGGAGUUGGUAAAUUUAAAAUUUUAUUUGAGUAAAGGGCGUAAAUUCUUCAAACAUUUAG